GUGGUAAUGCCGGAUGUUCCACAUGAUCGCAUGUGAUUGUGGGAAAGAUUCUAUCGGCGUGGGAUGGGGUCGCGUCCUAUCAGCUUGUUGGUGAGGUAACGGCUCACCAAGGCUUCGACGGGUAGCCGGCCUGAGAGGGCGACCGGCCACAUUGGGACUGAGAUACGGCCCAGACUCCUACGGGAGGCAGCAGUGGGGAAUAUUGCACAAUGGGCGCAAGCCUGAUGCAGCGACGCCGCGUGAGGGAUGGAGGCCUUCGGGUUGUAAACCUCUUUUGUUUGGGAGCAAGCCUUCGGGUGAGUGUACCUUUCGAAUAAGCGCCGGCUAACUACGUGCCAGCAGCCGCGGUAAUACGUAGGGCGCAAGCGUUAUCCGGAUUUAUUGGGCGUAAAGGGCUCGUAGGCGGCUCGUCGCGUCCGGUGUGAAAGUCCAUCGCUUAACGGUGGAUCUGCGCCGGGUACGGGCGGGCUGGAGUGCGGUAGGGGAGACUGGAAUUCCCGGUGUAACGGUGGAAUGUGUAGAUAUCGGGAAAGAAC
Molecule: ribosomal RNA, 536 nt
Filed under: Bifidobacterium bifidum
Lineage: Bacteria; Bacillati; Actinomycetota; Actinomycetes; Bifidobacteriales; Bifidobacteriaceae
Description: bacterial SSU rRNA
Rfam family: Bacterial small subunit ribosomal RNA
Source: RNAcentral